GCAUAUCAAUAAGCGGAGGAAAAGAAACCAACAGGGAUUGCCUCAGUAACGGCGAGUGAAGCGGCAAAAGCUCAAAUUUGAAAUCCUCCGGGAAUUGUAAUUUGAAGGUGGGGUUGAAUAGGUCUAGAUACUUUAAGUCCAUUGGAAAAUGGCGCCAUGGAGGGUGAUAGCCCCGUAAAAGUAUUCAAACCUUCUUUUCUUCCCCUCCUAAGAGUCGAGUUGUUUGGGAAUGCAGCUCUAAGUGGGUGGUAAAUUCCAUCUAAAGCUAAAUAUUGGCGAGAGACCGAUAGCGAACAAGUACAGUGAUGGAAAGAUGAAAAGCACUUUGAAAAGAGAGUGAAAAAGUACGUGAAAUUGUUGAAAGGGAAGGGCUUGCAAGCAGACACAACCUCGGUUGGGCCAGCAUCGGAGUGGGGGGAGACAAAAAAGGUUAGGAAUGUAGCUCCCUUUAGAGUAUUAUAUCCUAGCCCUAUAUCUCCAUCCCCUUCCGAGGCCUGCGAUUCUUCAAGGAUGCUGGCGUAAUGGUUGCAAGUCGGCCGUCUUGAAACACGGACCAAGGAGUCUAACGUCUAUGCGAGUGUUUGAGUAUCAAACCCAAACGCGCAAUGAAAGUAAUAGGAGCGAACCUCACGGUGCAGCUCCGACCACAUUAAGGCCUAAACCAUAAUGUGAGUAAGCAUGGCUGUUGGGACCCGAAAGAUGGUGAACUAUACCUGGAUAGGGUGAAGCCAGAGGAAACUCUGGUGGAGGCUCGUAGCGGUUCUGACGUGCAAAUCGAUCGUCGAAUCUGGGUAUAGGGGCGAAAGACUAAUCGAACCAUCUAGUAGCUGGUUCCUGCCGAA
Molecule: ribosomal RNA, 842 nt
Filed under: Metschnikowia koreensis
Lineage: Eukaryota; Fungi; Ascomycota; Pichiomycetes; Serinales; Metschnikowiaceae
Description: LSU rRNA
Rfam family: Eukaryotic large subunit ribosomal RNA
Source: RNAcentral